Molecule: ribosomal RNA, 253 nt
Filed under: uncultured bacterium
Lineage: Bacteria
Description: partial 16S ribosomal RNA
Rfam family: Bacterial small subunit ribosomal RNA
Source: RNAcentral
UACGGAGGGGGCUAGCGUUGUUCGGAAUUACUGGGCGUAAAGCGCGCGUAGGCGGCUUUGUAAGUCAGAGGUGAAAUCCCGGGGCUCAACUCCGGAACUGCCUUUGAAACUGCAUCGCUUGAAUGUCGGAGAGGUGAGUGGAAUUCCGAGUGUAGAGGUGAAAUUCGUAGAUAUUCGGAAGAACACCAGUGGCGAAGGCGGCUCACUGGACGACUAUUGACGCUGAGGUGCGAAAGCGUGGGGAGCGAUCCGG